AGAGUUUGAUCCUGGCUCAGGACGAACGCUGGCGGCGUGCCUAACACAUGCAAGUCGAGCGAUGAAAUCCUUCGGGAUGGAUUAGCGGCGGACGGGUGAGUAACACGUGGGUAACCUGCCUCAAAGAGGGGAAUAGCCUUCCGAAAGGAAGAUUAAUACCGCAUAAUAUGUUUUGGUCGCAUGACCGAGACAUCAAAGGAGCAAUCCGCUUUGAGAUGGACCCGCGGCGCAUUAGCUAGUUGGUGAGGUAACGGCUCACCAAGGCGACGAUGCGUAGCCGACCUGAGAGGGUGAUCGGCCACAUUGGAACUGAGACACGGUCCAGACUCCUACGGGAGGCAGCAGUGGGGAAUAUUGCGCAAUGGGGGAAACCCUGACGCAGCAACGCCGCGUGAAUGAUGAAGGCCUUCGGGUUGUAAAGUUCUGUCUUCUGGGACGAUAAUGACGGUACCAGAGGAGGAAGCCACGGCUAACUUCGUGCCAGCAGCCGCGGUAAUA
RNAcentral lists this ribosomal RNA (498 nucleotides) under uncultured bacterium. RNAcentral describes it as "bacterial SSU rRNA". It matches the Rfam family "Bacterial small subunit ribosomal RNA", at positions 8 to 525 of the family's 1533-position model. The record is from RNAcentral.